GCGCGAAAACUUUACAAUGCUGGCAACAGCGAUGAGGGAACCUCGAGUGCCAGGUUACAAAUCUGGCUGUCGAGAUGCCUUUAAAGCAUUUCAUAGCAAGGGCCGGGCAAGACCGGUGCCAGCCGCCGCGGUAACACCGGCGGCCCGAGUGGUAACCGUUAUUAUUGGGUCUAAAGGGUCUGUAGCCGGCCGGAUAAGUCUCUUGAGGAAUCUGGCAGCUUAACUGUCAGGCUUUCAGGAGAUACUGUCUGGCUCGAGGCCGGGAGAGGUGAGAGGUACUUCAGGGGUAGGGGUGAAAUCUUGUAAUCCUUGAAGGACCACCAGUGGCGAAGGCGUCUCACCAGAACGGACCUGACGGCAAGGGACGAAAGCUAGGGGCACGAACC
Molecule: ribosomal RNA, 386 nt
Filed under: uncultured prokaryote
Description: bacterial SSU rRNA
Rfam family: Archaeal small subunit ribosomal RNA
Source: RNAcentral